This 257-nucleotide ribosomal RNA is filed under the name Klebsiella pneumoniae. Its description in RNAcentral is "partial 16S ribosomal RNA". It matches the Rfam family "Bacterial small subunit ribosomal RNA", at positions 343 to 592 of the family's 1533-position model. RNAcentral also lists the same sequence under 1 other name. The record is from RNAcentral. Lineage: Bacteria; Pseudomonadati; Pseudomonadota; Gammaproteobacteria; Enterobacterales; Enterobacteriaceae.
GGGAGGCAGCAGUGGGGAAUAUUGCACAAUGGGCGCAAGCCUGAUGCAGCCAUGCCGCGUGUGUGAAGAAGGCCUUCGGGUUGUAAAGCACUUUCAGCGGGGAGGAAGGCGGUGAGGUUAAUAACCUCAUCGAUUGACGUUACCCGCAGAAGAAGCACCGGCUAACUCCGUGCCAGCAGCCGCGGUAAUACGGAGGGUGCAAGCGUUAAUCGGAAUUACUGGGCGUAAAGCGCACGCAGGCGGUCUGUCAAGUCGGA